CGUAGGGGGCCAGCGUUGUCCGGACUUACUGGGCGUAAAGCGCGCGCAGGCGGUCGUGUAUGUGCCGUGUGAAAGCGCCACCGAAUGGUGGCGAGGGCAGGGUAGACAGCACGACUUGAGCCUCGGAGAGGUCGGUGGAAUUCCGGGUGGAGCGGUGAAAUGCGUAGAGAUCCGGAGGAACACCAGGGGCGAAAGCGGCCGACUGGCCGAGUGCUGACGCUGAGGCGCGAAGGCGUGGGGAGCGAACCGGAUUAGAUACCCGGGUAGUCCACGCAGUAAACGAUGCACACCCGGUGUGGGGCCGGCAUUCCAUGCGGCUCUGUGCCCAAGGUUACCUGAUGAGUGUGCCGCCUGGGGACGUACGAGCGCAAGCUU
This 375-nucleotide ribosomal RNA is filed under the name uncultured organism. RNAcentral describes it as "bacterial SSU rRNA". It matches the Rfam family "Bacterial small subunit ribosomal RNA", at positions 526 to 895 of the family's 1533-position model. The record is from RNAcentral.